RNAcentral lists this ribosomal RNA (253 nucleotides) under uncultured bacterium. RNAcentral's name for it is "partial 16S ribosomal RNA". It matches the Rfam family "Bacterial small subunit ribosomal RNA", at positions 524 to 776 of the family's 1533-position model. The record is from RNAcentral.
UACGAAGGGGGCUAGCGUUGUUCGGAAUCACUGGGCGUAAAGCGCAUGCAGGCGGGUCGUUAAGUUAGGGGUGAAAUCCCGAGGCUCAACCUCGGAACUGCCUCUGAUACUGGCGACCUUGAGUCCGGGAGAGGUGAGUGGAAUUCCUAGUGUAGAGGUGAAAUUCGUAGAUAUUAGGAAGAACACCAGUGGCGAAGGCGGCUCACUGGCCCGGUACUGACGCUCAGGUGCGAAAGCGUGGGGAGCAAACAGG